This 350-nucleotide unclassified non-coding RNA is filed under the name soil metagenome. RNAcentral describes it as "partial contains 5.8S ribosomal RNA, internal transcribed spacer 2, and large subunit ribosomal RNA". The stretch from base 1 to 120 matches the Rfam family "5.8S ribosomal RNA", at positions 35 to 154 of the family's 154-position model. The record is from RNAcentral.
GAUGAAGAACGUAGCGAACUGCGAUAAGUAAUGUGAAUUGCAGAAUUCAGUGAAUCAUCGAGUCUUUGAACGCACAUUGCGCCCCCUGGCAUUCCGGGGGGCAUGCCUGUCCGAGCGUCAUUGCUGCCCUUCAAGCCCGGCUUGUGUGUUGGGUCGUCGUCCCCCCCGGGGGACGGGCCCGAAAGGCAGCGGCGGUACCGCGUCCGGUCCUCGAGCGUAUGGGGCUUUGUCACCCGCUCGAUUAGGGCCGGCCGGGCGCCAGCCGGCGUCUCCAACCUUCUAUUUUACCAGGUUGACCUCGGAUCAGGUAGGGAUACCCGCUGAACUUAAGCAUAUCAAUAAGCGGAGGA